GCCGUCGUCGCGCCGCCGCUACCACAGCUCGGCCCUCGGCGUUCACGUCAGACGCAAUUCCGACACGGCGGGAGUCGUACGUUCCGCGAUCACACGCACACACCGCGACAUUUUUACCUUUUACACACCGAACACACACCACCACCACCACCACCACACAUACCCUUCUACCUACCUCCUAUCAUUACACACACACAACACACACAGCGUCCGAUUCCAGUUUUCGUUUUCAUUUUUCAAUAUUUUUGUUUGCCGGAUAAAACGAUCAAUUUCACAACGGAACGACGCCGAUCCCUGUAUUUACUUUUGUUGCCGGCCCGCGUGUACCUAUCACUAUAAAUACAACGAGACCCGUCGCUACCGGUUCCGCCGUCCCUGCCCUCAUCCCACCACCCUAACCGCCGCAGCUAACAUCAGACCCGUCGUCGCCGCCAAAACCGUGAACGCAACGACGUCGCCGAGCAACAGGAACCCGUCCCGGCCCCCAGUGGUGCCCCCAUGUUGGCGCUGAAAGUGGUCGUCGCACAGCGUUACACCCACCCGGUUGAAUCGUGGAGGCCGUCGCCGUUGGCGGGUUGAAGAGGGCCCGAGGUGCUGUGUACAACGGACCGGAGGCCGCCGCCGCCGCUGCCACCCUCAAGAAGUUCAGACUGGACGCAGCCACGGCCGCCGCAGCCGCAGCCGCAGCGAUGAACAUGCCGCCCACAGGCCACACACCACCCCUGGCCCAGCAGCAGCAGCAGGCCGCACAGGGCACCGCGAACACGACGGUCGCGGUCGGCGACGGCGGCCAAUCCGUCGUCGUGCCCGGUAUGUGCAACAACAUCGAUUCUGUCGGGCCCGGCGAGGAAGAGGUGAGAACAUUAUUCGUCAGUGGUCUACCAAUGGACGCCAAGCCUCGAGAACUUUACCUGCUGUUUCGAGCAUAUGAGGGUUACGAAGGAUCUCUGUUAAAAGUGACAAGCAAAAAUGGCAAAACAGCUUCACCAGUGGGUUUCGUUACGUUUCAAACAAGGGCUGGUGCCGAAGCGGCCAAACAAGACCUUCAGCAGGGCGUCCGGUUCGAUCCUGACAUGCCGCAAACCAUACGGCUAGAAUUCGCUAAAAGCAACACGAAGGUUAGCAAGCCAAAACAGCCCGCCAACGCAAACGUCACGCCCAACACGCACCAAGGCCUGAUGCACCCGCUCACCGGACAUCUAGGCGCCCCGUUCUUCACCGGCGCCCCGGCCGAGCUAUGGCAUCAUCCGCUGGCGUACGCCGACAUGCCGACCGCCGCCACGGCCACGGCCCUGCAACACGCCGCACUCGUCCAUCCGGCGCUGCAUCCACAUCCGCAACAGCCGACGUUGACGCUGGGCCCACAUGGCCUUCCGUUCCUGCCCUCCCCUGCACUGCCCUCGCCGCCCAACCACCAGCAGCCCCAGCCGCCCUGUUCCACGCUGUUCGUCGCCAACCUCGGGCAGUUUGUGUCUGACCACGAGCUUAAAGACAUUUUCGCCAGAACGAGUUACAGUCAGUCAAAGCAGACGUUUAAUUAUUGGCCGACGGCCUAUAAAUGAAGACAUUGAUAGACGUAUUUCUCUAUACCCAUGUACAUAAGAAAAUAUAUAAGGGAGUAUGCUGGCCAAAAGAAAUUGGACAACGUCAAUUUCACGUAUACUCACAUGCAGUUGAACAACACUUGACAACAACAAGA
This 1699-nucleotide unclassified non-coding RNA is filed under the name Sipha flava (yellow sugarcane aphid). RNAcentral's name for it is "protein couch potato-like, transcript variant X3". Lineage: Eukaryota; Metazoa; Arthropoda; Insecta; Hemiptera; Aphididae. The record is from RNAcentral.